GACGAACGCUGGCGGCGUGCUUAACACAUGCCAGUCGAACGGAAAGGCCCUGCUUUUGUGGGGUGCUCGAGUGGCGAACGGGUGAGUAACACGUGAGUAACCUGCCCUUGACUUUGGGAUAACUUCAGGAAACUGGGGCUAAUACCGGAUAGGAGCUCCUGCUGCAUGGUGGGGGUUGGAAAGUUUCGGCGGUUGGGGAUGGACUCGCGGCUUAUCAGCUUGUUGGUGGGGUAGUGGCUUACCAAGGCUUUGACGGGUAGCCGGCCUGAGAGGGUGAACGGCCACCUUGGGACUGAGAUACGGCCCAGACUCCUACGGGAGGCAGCAGUGGGGAGUAUUGCACAGUGGGCGGAAGCCUGAUGCAGCAACGCCGCGUGCGGGAUGACGGCCUUCGGGUUGUAAACCGCUUUCGCCUGUGACGAAGCGUGAGUGACGGUAAUGAGUAAAGAAGCACCGGCUAACUACGUG
Molecule: ribosomal RNA, 468 nt
Filed under: uncultured bacterium
Lineage: Bacteria
Description: partial 16S ribosomal RNA
Rfam family: Bacterial small subunit ribosomal RNA
Source: RNAcentral